AUUGUCUCUGCUUCCUAAUGCUCCGCUUAGUCAAUGCGGCGGACUGGGACUGGAGCACUGAGUAGCUGGAGUUCCACUACUCCUGAUUUAUAAUUAUCUGUCCUGAUCAAUAUCUGGAUUCACCUGUUAUCAUCCAUGCUAACUCAUCUGAACGGAUAAAGGGGAUCACCCAGGGCGCAGAAAGUGGAGAUGGGUCCCCUGAUGGUCCUAGCUGUUCUAGUAGGGCUACUGGGGACAGCGUCUGAUUCCACCCAAGUGCAGGUCACAGGUAAUACUCAGGACCAGAGCAAUGUUCCUGGAGAAACAGAGGAAUGUACUUCAGAUUUACCUCAGAAUUCAUCUUCUUCAACAAACACCAGCUUUGCAGUCGUGAUCCACAGAGAUAGCUCUGCACUUCAGUCUUGGCCUGCAGCAGAACAAACAGAAGUUAAAGUUUUUAGGAGUGGAUCAGAAGUCAUUUCCAGGAGGUACUGGUAUACAAGUGUUGUCUUUGGAGUCCGACAACCAGAAACUACACCAGCAAUUACAUUGUUCACAACACCAGUACAGACCUCAUCAGAACAAACUACCACCACAGUGGCAGAAACCAGCACUGUACAAUCAACAGAACUGUCAACACAGUCAACAGAUGAUACAGCACUGACAACAGAAGCCACGACUGUAAUAACAACUAAUGCUACAUCCAAGCAAUCAACAGUCCAAACAUCUGCAUACCAGGACAGUACUGUCUCACCAGGGACAUCGAUUUCAACUACAGACCUAGUGGAAACAUCUGCAAUGACAGAGUCCAUGACAACAGAUCAAAUACCUUCUGUAACACCAACAACUCUAACACCAUCUGAAAACCCACCAACUACUGCUGAAAACCCAACAGAAACAACUUUGUCAUCAACACAAACACCUUCUGUAGCACCAACAACUGUAACACCAUCUGAAAACCCAACAGAAACACCUUCUGUAACACCAACAACUGUAACACCAUCUGAAAAUACACCAACUACUGCUGAAAACCCAACAGAAACAACUUCAUCAACACAAACACCUUCUGUAACACCAACAACUCUAACACCAUCCAUACCUCCAUCAACAUCUACUGCAGAACCAACAUCUACACCCUCACCUUCCAUAACACCAACAACGAUAACACCAUCCAAAUCCACAUCAACAAUUACUGCAGAACCAACAACAUCUACACCAGAACCUUCUGUAACACAAACAACUGUGACGACCACAAUUACAACGCCUACAAAUUCCACAACAACUACAACACCCACAAUGCCUACAACACCCACAACAUCCACAACACAAACUAACACAACAGCUACAACAACUACAAUCACUACAUCCACAAAGCCCACAACACCUACAACUACAACCAAUACAUCUACAACAACCAACACAGCCCCUACAACCACCACGCCCACAAAGUCCACAACAACUACAACCACCACACCCACAACAACCACCACACCCACAGCAACCACAACUACAACCACCACACUCACAACAACCACCACACCCACAAAGUCCACAACAACUACAACCACCACACCCACAGCAACCACCACACCCACAGCAACCACAACUACAACCACCACACCCACAAAGUCCACAGCAACCACAACUACAACCACUACACUCACAACAACCACCACACCCACAAAGUCCACAACAACUACAACCACCACACCCACAACAACCACCACACCCACAGCAACCACAACUACAACCACCACACCCACAAAAUCCACAGCAACCACAACCACCACACCCACAACAACCACCACACCCACAAAGUCCACAGCAACCAUAACUACAACCACCACACUGACAACAACCACCACGCCCACAAAGUCCACAACAACUACAACCACUACACUCACAACUACAACCACCACACCGACAACAACCACCACACCCACAACAACCACCACACCCACAACAACCACCACACCCACAAAGCCCACAACUACAACCACUACACUCACAACUACAACCACCACACCAACAACAACCACCACACCCACAAAGCCCACCACACCCACAACAACCACCACACCCACAACAACCACCACACCCACAACAACCAC
This 2090-nucleotide long non-coding RNA is filed under the name Astyanax mexicanus (Mexican tetra). RNAcentral describes it as "lncRNA (ENSAMXG00005004797.1)". Lineage: Eukaryota; Metazoa; Chordata; Actinopteri; Characiformes; Acestrorhamphidae. The record is from RNAcentral.